CCACCUGUGCCGUGUAAUGACCAAUGAGAAGGAAAGUGUAUGUCCCUGUCUGUGGAAGCUCAUGGUUGCUUUGACUACAUGACUGUGGCUCUGGUGAGCUGGGUGCCACCUGGAGCCCAUGCUGGGCAUUGCCUUUUGGGUACCAGCAUUUGAUUUUCUGCACUCACGUGGGAGUCCUGGCAGGACUUUACUGUUCUCGUCGGGCAGCCACUCCCUGCCCCUGCCCAUCUUGCACUUGCUGUGUGAUGCUAGGGGCUGGUGACCCUCAUCCUUGUGUACACAUUGCCUCCUUGUGGAUGACAGAGACAGAACUGCCUCAAUUAAGAGACACUUGGCGGACCCGCACAGCCAAGCCAGAAGCCCCGGGCCGCCGCCCCCUCCCUGUUUCCUGUGCCAGCCGCCCGUGUCCUCGGACCUGUUCCCACAAUCAGUUAAAACAUGGUGGAUUACUAUGAAGUUCUAGGCAUGCAGAGACAUGCCUCAGCCGAGGAUAUUAAAAAGGCAUAUCGAAAACUGGCACUGAAGUGGCACUCGGAUAAAAAUCCUGAGAAUAAGGAAGAAGCAGAGAGAAAAUUCAAACAAGUAGCCGAGGCGUAUGAGGUGUUAUCAGACGCUAAAAAAUGGGACAUCUAUGACAAGUACGGCAAAGAAGGAUUAAAUGGUGGCGGAGGAGGUGGAAGUCAUUUUGACAAUCCAUUUGGGUUUGGCUUCAUAUUCCGUAACCCAUAUGAUGUCUUCAGGGAAUUUUUUGGUGGAAGGGACCCAUUUUCAUUCGACUUAUUCGAUCGAUGACCCAUUUGAUGACUUUUUUGGGAAUCAGAGGGGUCCCCGAGGAAGCAGAAGCCAAGGAACAGGGUCGUUUUUCUCUGCCUUCGCUGGAUUUCCGUCUUUUGGAGGAUUUUCUUCUUCUGAUACAAGAUUUACUUCAUUCGGGUCCCUAGGUCAUUGGGGCCUCACUUCAUUCUCUUCCACGUCCUUUGGUGGUGGUGGUGGCAUGGGCAACUUCAAGUCCGUAUCGACUUCCACCAAGAUAGUCAGUGGCAGGAAGAUCACCACAAAGAGAAUUGUCGAGAAUGGUCAAGAAAGAGUAGAAGUUGAAGAAGACGGCCAGCUGAAGUCCUUAACAAUAAAUGGUAAGGAGCAGCCGCUGCGCU
RNA transcript from Lemur catta (Ring-tailed lemur), 1154 nucleotides. It is a transcript of the gene named dnaJ homolog subfamily B member 6-like, with no coding region annotated. The transcript has a single exon. Lineage: Eukaryota; Metazoa; Chordata; Mammalia; Primates; Lemuridae. The record is from RefSeq and is a predicted model, not a curated record.